ACACCCAUGGCAGGUGGAAGUUCCCCGGCCAGGAAUUGACCCUGAGCCACAGCAGUGACUCGAGCCACAGCAAUGACAACGCCAGGCCCCCAGUCUGCUGAAACACCAGGGCACUCUCUUGCGUUGUUUUUUCAAUUGGAGUCGCUUACCUGACCCUGCUCAGCCUUAGCAUCAGUAGGGAAGAAGCUAGAUGGAAAGACAUCACCUGCGCCAUGAAGUUGAGAAAGACCAGCGGCCUGUGAUGGACUUGAAUCCAUAUUCCCAGGCUCACUGCUCCAUCUGCAGUUACACAGGACCCAGAAAUAUCAUGCCACAAAGCAUGAGACAACAAAUCACCACAUCACCAUUCUUCGAAAAAUAGACAUAAAAUGUCACCCACGCGUCAUCAGGGUCCCUGCCCCAGGAGGUCUGGGUGGACUUCACCCAUCCCAGCACUAUGGCCCAUGGCUGGCUGGAGCCCUCACUUGAUGUCCGUGCAUCUCUGUCCUCUGGGCCCCUCUGGCCUCACAGGCUGGCCCUGACCGACCCUGAGCCUCAGAACCUGCCUCGCCAGCAGUUUCCCACAGAAACGCCUUCCACAUCAAGUGGUCUGUGCUUUUUUGUUUGCCGUGGGCUAGAGAUGUUGCAUGUCAGAGAAACAGUCGCCCACACGGCACACAAAGAGACCAUCUCCUGAGUGUCCGCACUGCUUCCCCUGCCCCCUCCCCUUCCCCCUGGUGCGGCCAAGCGCUCCCCACCUGAUUCUGGCCCCAGAGUCAGGUCUGUCCUUGGUCCCUUUAAGGUAUAAGCUUCUCCCGUAGUUAAUGCAUGAAGAAAAUCCCUCCCUCUCUGUCUCUCUCUCCCCCUCUCAUUCUCCAUUAUGGACUUUUGGUGAUUCUGAGUUUCUGUCUCAUUUCAUUCAAUACACAGUAGAGCUUAACAGGACUCUUCUUUAGAAAUUGCCUUAAAUAAUUGCCUUAAAUAGGAUUGUUGGGAAACACUGACUAUUUUCAAGUUUCGAUGGGGUCAGGGUCAGGGCUGUCUGAGCAGCGUGGUGGCACCUGGAGGGGAAGCCGCUUGGACAGCCAUGAGCACAGCAGUGCGGGUUGCAAGUUGAAGAUCACGGCCCCUGGCGAGAUGGUCAGCUCUCUUGCCCCUGGAGACAGGUAUUGACGUUCCAAAGGGUAAUGAACCUGAGGACCUUCCUGUUCCCUCUCUUUCUCUCUGGGUUGGGGGUGGGGGGGACGGGGAGCAGAUGGACCCUCAGCUCCUAUAUUAGCUUCAAGAUUCAGUCUUGGAGUCCUUCCCCUGGGGUGCAAGCCCCUAGACAUGCAGAGUCAUCUGGGCCUCACAGCGGUUCCCCGAGGGAAGACGGCCCAUGAGCGACCAGCACGAGGAUGGCUGGGUCAGUAAGUCAACCUUGGAUCCAGAAAGCAUGUGUUUCCUCUCAGGACAAGUAAGACGUCUGGAUGUAAAAACACACAAUGUGGCACGAGGGUAUCCACUUUUUUGCAAUUUGAUAGAAGACGGAUCUCCAAAUUUUGAACUGCAUUGUUUCUUUGGAAACUGUUGACUGAAAGAAUAUGCACAACCUAAAAGUUGAGAGUUAAGUUUUAUUUGGAGCAAAAUGAGGACUUAAGCCCUAGGCGGCAGCAUCUCAAGUAACCCUGAGAAAAGCGCUCCAAGGAAGCGAGGCGGGAGCUGGGAUAUACAGGACAAAGAGCAGGUAGGAACAAAAGACCACUCUUAAUAACAGGAAACCCAGGAGUUCCCGUCGUGGCGCAGUGGAAACAAAUCCAACUAGGAACCAUGAGGUUUCGGGUUCGAUCCCUGGUCUCACUCAAUGGGUUAAGGAUCUGGUGUUGCCAUGAGCUGGAAUGUAGGCUGCAGACGCAGCUCGGAUCCUGUGUUGCUGUGGCUGUGGUAUAGGCUGGCAACUGUAGCUCCAAUUUGACCCCUACCUGGGAAAGAGAGGUUCGUGAAGAAAAAUCAGGGAAGAAACCAUCAAAAUCUCUGACAAUGUAUUUUCUGGUGAGGCGUUGGGUAUUUCAUUAAAUCUAAGAUACUAACAAUUAUAAGAGGAAUCAUCAUUUUAGGGACCACUAAGAAAAACAGAAACAAGCUGCCAAUUAAACUAUGACAAAAUGCCUUCUGGGACCUCAGAAUUUCCAUUUAGGCUUAUUUAGAUUUAGAUGUUUAUGCUAUAGGGACACGUUGUGGUGCAUAUUUACAGUCUAACACAUGUGGAUGUCUUUCCAGUUUAGUCUCAUCGAUGUUCGUGCUGCUGACACAGCAAUUUUUUUCUUUUUCUUUUAAAAAAUGCUUGGAUGGUCCUUUCCAUUCAGCAGUUUAAUACUGGAACUUUCUGGAUUUCUCUAGAAGGUGUCAAUGACAGGCUGGCAAGCAACAACCGGGAAUUGAGUUUCUUUUGGUGUUACCUGGACUUUUAGGUUAACUAAAGCAGCCCAUUUGUGGCCUCUCAAACAUACAUUGUACACCUGCUUUAAUCAUUAAAGAAAAUGGUGCAUUGACCAGAAGUGAAGAAUGUCCACCUUAAAAAUAAAGAUGAAAUCCCACCCUUCCUGGGACAGCAAGGCUGGUGCUUCUUCGAUGAUAAGAGUCCUUUCCUGGGUGUCAAAGCCAUACUGAUUGGCUACUAGCUGUCUUUAAAACAAACACAUAAAAAACCCCAAAACGGGAAGGAAUGUAUCCAUGAUUUCUUUAGUGUUCCUCCUCUAACGAGGUAUAAAACCAGCGAAAACCAUGCUUCUCCAGAGCAGUUCCUUAGAGUUCUUGGAGAGGUUUCCCCGGGGAGAGUCAGUCCUCAGUCUGGCUCAGAUAAAACUCUUUUCUAUUCCUAUUAUAGGUGGUUCAUUAGUUAUUUCUGUCGACAAUGCCCUGAAAUCGCCAAAUGCAGGGCCGCAAGGACCCACCACUAGAGCAGGAUGGCAGCCAGUCGGUGCACCGAGCACAGCAACCGCACUGGGUCCUCGCGGGGAGCCAGCUCCACGCAGGCUCCUAGCCACCCCGAGGCAGAAGUGGGGACGGCCAGGAACGGGAGCCGGCACCCACCCGGGGACAAGAGACUUCUGGUCGGGGGAGGCUGGGCAGCACUUGGAGGGGAAAACCCUACCUGUGAUUGUUCCAGGCCCCCUCCCUAACCCUCUCAGUGACCCGCGCUGAGCAGGUACGCAGGGGCUGGUGAAUUCAUUCCUUUCACACAGAGGGCCCAAGCAGUGAUUGAAUCGCUGGAAAUUCAGCAGUAAACCCAGCAUGAGCGUCCCCCAGAAAGUGGACUAACUUCUCACAGGGGCCACAGACAGGGGAGCAGAUCCUGAGUCAGUGGGCGGUGAAUAUCUGGAAGUUUCUAGAAGCAGGUGGGGGCGGGCGGGAUUGGGGAAAGAUGAGGGUGGCUGCUGCUGAAAUGAAUUGGCAGGAUAAUGCGCCCCAAGUGCUGGGAGUCCAUCCUCCAUGCUCAUUAAAAUCCACACCUUCCUAUUUUAUCUGAGACUGAGGAUUUCAAAACACACACACACACACACACACACACGCACACACACACACACACACACGCACGUGAACACACACGGGAUCUCUGGAAGCCACCACCUCAAAGCCCUGCCAGGAGCAAACACUCCCUGGUGAGCAUUCAAAGGCAGGCGAUCAAGACGUACAAGAGAUGCAGGAGUUACAGGGAAGGCGCAGUUCUGAUGAGUUAGAACCAGUGUCCCCUGAGACGUGGACUUGCUCCAAGGAGCAGGACAGAAUGACCUCCAGAGUGUUUUUUAAUACACAAUGUUUAUUCUCACUGCAAUGGCAGAGACAAGGCAGUCCUGGAAAGAGAACAGCAUCCAGAGGUCAGCGAAAAUUGCCCGCAGUGGAAAAGCUAUUACCAAAUUUUAAAACACAAUAAAAGAGUUUAAUAAGGUGUCCGGUUUACAAAAUAAAUCCAUAAAAAUCGAUGGCUUUCGUUUUACACCAAUAAUAACCUGGCAGAAAGUGUAAUGGGAGGAAAAUUCCACAUGCAGUCAUGACAAUAAAUAUGAAAUACCCAGGAAUAAUUGCCCUGAGGUGUGCUGAAGUCCACGGUGAGCGCUUUAAAAUUUACUUGCCAAGAAGACACACAUAUCAUGCUCUUCAGAGGGAGCAGAGGAUAUGUAGUUUGAAUUUUCCGUGCUGUGAUUCUCAUUACCCUGGGAUUAAUUUGCUCUGGCAUCUGCAUUCUCCACGAUGCUGUGAACUCCAAGAUGCUGUGUCACUUCCUGCUGUGUUUUAGUACAUGUCCAGGUUCCUGGAUCAUAGCAGGUGCUCAGUAAAUACUGGCUGGCUUAGUGAGUCGAGAUGGAGAGGACCACACAUCCAGGCUGUUUUAAAGGAACCACCAGAGGAUCCAAGAUUGAGCCCUAAAGCCCGAAAGAAUGGCUCCAAACCACAGUGGUUUUUAGACAAUUAGAAAUUUAUUUCCCUCACUGUAGUAUUCCCGGAACCUCGGCAAAGAGGGUAGCGAUCAGCCUCUUAGGCAUUAUCCCAGCCUGGGGUGAAAGGGACAAAGGACCCACCCCACAAAAGCAGCCAUUCUCACGGCCCCAUGAAGCAGUAAGAGCUAGAAGUCCCCCUCAGACUCCUCUGUACUGGGGGCCAAUGAGGCUCCUUGGAAUGUUCCAGAGACUUCCUUGGGGAACAGGAAGUGCCUUCAAGGCUUUCGAAUGGCAGUGGAAGGAAACUAUUGUUUUUGGAAACAAAAUCUAACCUGGUAACUGCAGCCCUGUCUUCUUAGAAGCUGAGGACCAAAACGCAAUCCAAACAGCAGUGGAACAAAAUCUCUAGGCCCUCUCCUUCUUGAAGACCUUGAUGAGGAAGAGAGAAGGAGCAACUCUUCAGGCGGACGCCCCACUGCGUAGGGAGGAUCCUGAUGAAUUUCUGGUCUGCGGAGAGGCUCAGCGUCUAGUCUGGGAGUGAAAAACUGGAAAGCACAACUGUUCUGUGUAUUUAAAGGGAGGAAGAUUUGAGGGUUUACUGCAAACAGGGGGUGCAUUGGAGCAGAGGAGAAAGGAGAGAGCAAACUGGUGGAAGAACCAGGAGCCCAGGCUGGUGACAAUGGUCAGAGACUUUAGGAACCAGAAGUCCCAUGGCUCACCUAAGCCGGGCACAGAAACAGAUGGUUCUCAACAUCCAGGAAAGUUGCUGAGCUCCAUGCCUGGAUUUGCAAAAAGGAUAGGAUGCUGCCGAGGGAGGGAAGAGCCAGAGGAGGUCUGAGUUCUGCCAAAGGUCAAACACGAGGUGCAGAAUCCACAGGGAGACUCGGGAAGACAGCCCUCAAAGGAUUCCUCGGUGUGACUUGCAGGGAAGUUCCAAGAAAGCUCCCCUGAUCCAAAGCCACCCCAACGGCAGGUCUGAUGCCCAUGCAGAAGGUGAUAAACACUCUUGCCCAUCCUGCCCAGAGCAGACCACUCACAGAGCUCAAGCCUGGAAGGACUUUUGCAAGAGCCCAAUUCCUUUCCAACCUCAAGCUUGUCCAUAAAUGACCAUGAGAUCAGGGGAGUGGAAGUAUAGCAAGUGAGGACUGAUGAAAAGAACUGGGGGUGUUUGGACUAAAACAAGAAGGCCUGGGAGGACGAGAGAACCAUCUCCAAACCAGGAUGGGAAUGGGCUUAUCAUCUAUUAUGAUUCUGGAGGGCGAAACUGAAGUCAGAAGAUAGAAGCAGCAGGAAAAAAUAACUUGGCUCAAGGCAAGGGGGGCGUUCUUGCCGCUUGAGAAAGUGAAAGUGACUUCCUGUGAACAGUGAGAGAAGGGGCAGAGGAGGUGAGAGCCUGACCUCCGGUGCUUGGUGCGGAGUGGUGGGGCACAGUGUCCAAGCUGAAAUGGGGUGAGAUUCUUGGAUGGGAUGCCCUGAUUCUAACCCCCCGCUAAGAUCCCAGCAAUAACACCACCUGCAGAGCCCACCAUGGGAAACGGAGCUGCUCACAGGGCAGGAGGUGGCUCCCUGAAGCUGUGGUGACCCAACACUUUGGGGAUUAUUUCCAGAGUAAGCAUGAGUGUCUGUGAGUGCACGUGGGGACAGCAGGACAGACCCUCAGCAAGGUCUUGCAAUGACCUUCUCAAGUGGGCCUUCCCUGAACAGAGGGGUUUCCAGAACAUCUCCUUGCCUGAGUCACUGACUUAAAGGCAGAGAAUUGGGGAA
This 6161-nucleotide long non-coding RNA is filed under the name Sus scrofa (pig). RNAcentral's name for it is "lncRNA (ENSSSCG00040069293.1)". The record is from RNAcentral. Lineage: Eukaryota; Metazoa; Chordata; Mammalia; Artiodactyla; Suidae.